RNAcentral lists this transfer RNA (72 nucleotides) under Ovis aries (sheep). It matches the Rfam family "tRNA". From Rfam's summary of the family: Transfer RNA (tRNA) molecules are approximately 80 nucleotides in length. Their secondary structure includes four short double-helical elements and three loops (D, anti-codon, and T loops). The record is from Rfam by way of RNAcentral. Lineage: Eukaryota; Metazoa; Chordata; Mammalia; Artiodactyla; Bovidae.
UCCUAAGUGGCUCAGACGGUAAAGAAUCCACCUGCAAUGUGGGAGACCUGAGUUCGAUCCUUGGGUUGGGAA